GACGAACGCUGGCGGCGUGCCUAAUACAUGCAAGUAGGACGCACAGUUUAUACCGUAGCUUGCUACACCAUAGACUGUGAGUUGCGAACGGGUGAGUAACGCGUAGGUAACCUGCCUAUUAGAGGGGGAUAACUAUUGGAAACGAUAGCUAAUACCGCAUAACAGUAUGUAACACAUGUUAGAUGCUUGAAAGAUGCAAUUGCAUCGCUAGUAGAUGGACCUGCGUUGUAUUAGCUAGUAGGUAGGGUAAAGGCCUACCUAGGCAACGAUACAUAGCCGACCUGAGAGGGUGAUCGGCCACACUGGGACUGAGACACGGCCCAGACUCCUACGGGAGGCAGCAGUAGGGAAUCUUCGGCAAUGGGGGGAACCCUGACCGAGCAACGCCGCGUGAGUGAAGAAGGUUUUCGGAUCGUAAAGCUCUGUUGUUAAGGAAGAACGAGUGUGAGAAUGGAAAGUUCAUGCUGUGACGGUACUUAACCAGAAAGGGACGGCUAACUACGUGCCAGCAGCCGCGGUAAUACGUAGGUCCCGAGCGUUGUCCGGAUUUAUUGGGCGUAAAGCGAGCGCAGGCGGUUAGAAAAGUCUGAAGUGAAAGGCAGUGGCUCAACCAUUGUAGGCUUUGGAAACUGUUUAACUUGAGUGCAGAAGGGGAGAGUGGAAUUCCAUGUGUAGCGGUGAAAUGCGUAGAUAUAUGGAGGAACACCGGUGGCGAAAGCGGCUCCCUGGUCUGUAACUGACGCUGAGGCUCGAAAGCGUGGGGAGCGAACAGG
RNAcentral lists this ribosomal RNA (773 nucleotides) under Streptococcus anginosus. RNAcentral describes it as "bacterial SSU rRNA". It matches the Rfam family "Bacterial small subunit ribosomal RNA", at positions 28 to 776 of the family's 1533-position model. The record is from RNAcentral. Lineage: Bacteria; Bacillati; Bacillota; Bacilli; Lactobacillales; Streptococcaceae.